UACGAAGGGGGCUAGCGUUGCUCGGAAUUACUGGGCGUAAAGGGCGCGUAGGCGGAUAUCUAAGUUGGGGGUGAAAGCCCGGGGCUCAACCUCGGAAUUGCCUUCAAUACUGGAUAUCUUGAGUACGGGAGAGGUGAGUGGAACUCCGAGUGUAGAGGUGAAAUUCGUAGAUAUUCGGAAGAACACCAGUGGCGAAGGCGACUCACUGGCCCGUUACUGACGCUGAGGCGCGAAAGCGUGGGGAGCAAACAGG
RNAcentral lists this ribosomal RNA (253 nucleotides) under uncultured bacterium. RNAcentral's name for it is "partial 16S ribosomal RNA". It matches the Rfam family "Bacterial small subunit ribosomal RNA", at positions 524 to 776 of the family's 1533-position model. The record is from RNAcentral.